This is an RNA transcript of Oncorhynchus kisutch (coho salmon), 6103 nucleotides long. It is a transcript of the gene named ras homolog family member T1a, with no coding region annotated. The transcript is spliced from 19 exons. NCBI's taxonomy places the organism in Eukaryota, Metazoa, Chordata, Actinopteri, Salmoniformes, Salmonidae. The record is from RefSeq and is a predicted model, not a curated record.
GUAGUUGCCGGGUAUUGGAGGUCAGCUGGAGGAGGCGUGCUUCUGAAAUGUUUCGUGCAAAAUGUCAUGAAAGUACAGAAAAUAAAGGAAUAUAGCGUUUUAAACAAUUAUGUCAUUUACAAGAAUGUGUAUCGCUGUUGAGCGUGGAACUUCAAUUGUACAAGAAGCGAGAGAAAAGAUAACAAAUUAACGGAGAAAUUCCUCCGUCCGUUUUGUCCUACAAAGAAAGAGGCGCCGACCACAGUUUGACAGCGCAGUCUAAACUGCGCAGGCCUGGCAUUAGAUAAACUGCUGUAGGGCGGCAUCAAAGAAUAUAUGAUAUUUAUGAAAGAACAAAGACUUAUUGAUUUGUGAAUAAAAAACAAUUGCAAAUAUGAGGAAGGACGUGAGGAUAUUACUCGUUGGGGAACCCAAAGUGGGGAAGACGUCUCUGAUCAUGUCACUGGUCAGCGAGGAGUUCCCUGACGACGUUCCCCUUCGAGCGGAGGAGAUCACCAUCCCAGCAGACGUAACUCCAGAGAGAGUCCCCACACACAUAGUGGACUACUCAGAAGCAGAACAGUCAGACGAGCAGUUGUAUCAAGAAAUAUCAAAGGCUAAUGUUAUUUGCAUAGUUUACUCAGUCAACAACAAGAAGUCCAUUGAGAAGGUGACAAGUCAUUGGAUUCCCCUCAUAAACGACAGGACGGACAAGGAUAGCAGGGUACCACUGAUCCUGGUGGGGAAUAAGUCAGACCUGGUAGAACACAGCAGUAUGGAGACCAUCCUGCCCAUCAUGAACCAGUACUCUGACAUUGAGACCUGCGUGGAGUGCUCUGCCAAAAACCUGAAGAACAUCUCAGAGCUGUUCUACUAUGCCCAGAAGGCAGUGCUCCACCCUACAGGACCCCUGUACUGCCCAGAGGAGAAGGAGAUGAAGCCGUCUUGCAUCAAGUCUCUAACUCGCAUCUUCAAAGUGUCGGACCUGGACAACGAUGGCAUCCUCAACGACAAAGAACUCAACUUCUUCCAGAGAACGUGUUUCAACAUGCCCCUGGCGCCCCAGGCCUUAGAGGAUGUCAAGAACGUGGUGAGGAAGAACAUGACGGACGGAGUUGAGGACAACGGACUCACGCUCAAAGGGUUCUUGUUUCUGCACACGCUUUUCAUCCAGAGGGGGCGUCACGAGACCACCUGGACGGUGCUGCGGAGGUUUGGGUACGACGACGACUUGGAGCUUCACCAGGAAUACCUGUUCCCCCUGCUAAAAAUACCUGCUGACUGCACCACCGAGCUCAACCACAACGCGUACCUCUUCCUCCAGAGUGUCUUCGACAAGCACGACAAAGACAGAGACUGUGCCUUGUCUCCAGAGGAAGUCAAGGACCUGUUCAAAGUGUUUCCCUACAUGCCCUGGGGCCCCGACGUCAACAACACAGUGUGUACCAACGACCAGGGCUGGAUCACCUACCAGGGUUACCUGUCACAGUGGACGUUAACGACGUACCUGGAUGUGCAGCGCUGCUUGGAGUACCUGGGCUACCUUGGCUACUCAAUCAUCUGUGAGCAGGAGUCCCAGGCAGCAGCCAUCACAGUGACCCGUAACAAGCGCAUCGACCUGCAGAAGAAGCAGACGCAGCGCAGCGUGUUCCGCUGUAACAUUCUGGGAGCCAGGGGGAGUGGCAAGACCAGCUUCCUGCAGGCCUUUCUGGGUCGCAACCUGCUGAAACAGCGGAAGAUCAGAGAAGACCAUAAAUCGUUUUACUCCAUCAACACCACGUAUGUCUACGGCCAGGAGAAGUACUUACUGCUUCAUGAGGUGAUGCCAGACUUUGACUUCCUCUCAGAGGAGGACCUGGCGUGUGACGUGGUCUGUCUGGUGUAUGACGUCAACAACCCGCGCUCCUUUGAGUACUGUGCCAAGGUCUACAAGCAAUACUUCAUGGACAGCAAGACGCCGUGCAUGAUGAUCGCCUCCAAGUCAGACCUGCACGAGGCGCGCCAGCACUACAGCCUGACCCCGCUGGACUUCUGCCGCAAGAACAAGCUGCACCCGCCCCAACCCUGGACCUGCAACACGGUGGACGCCCCCAACAAGGACCUCUACACCAAACUUACCACCAUGGCCAUGUACCCCCUCACACAGCACUCCCACUCUGCUCUCACCACCGUGACACAGCACUUUACCCAAUUAUCUGCCACACUGCACCAUCAUCUAACACCUGUGGUGCUAGCCAGGGAGGUAACCGUGUGUUGUGGUCGACCCCACCGUGUGGUUGUGUUGCUUUCCGGUUGAGCCAGUCUGACCUGAAGAUGCAUGUGUGCAGUCUGUUGGCGAUGGGUUGUGGGUAGAUUACCCUCCUGUAGCAACACGGUACAGUCUGUCAUCAAGUAACUAAUGCAUGGAUUUUUAAGAUAUAAAAAAGGUCAUUCAUCUUUCGAGAGUUGAGCAUACAAGUGGAUGUUGAAGCCAACAUGGCCAUUUCGUUUAAGAAUGGUGUUUCUAUCAUGUUAAGUGGAUAUGCAAACUGUAAAUCUGUACUAAAGACUCAUUUGCAUAGUGAGUGAGGGAGAAACGUCACCUUGCAGAUCUUUCUGUUUUGGUUACAUUUCGCCCCACUGAAGCUGUUGGUGAAACUGAAAGCCUCAUAGAAGUCAGCUUGGGUUGACUGGCUGGUUAUUCUCCUCUUCACGAAAGUAGAUGUUCAUAUUUGGUUCAUUUUCUAAAUGUCUAUCUUUUUUAGUUUUCUUUGUCAUUGAACUGUUUCCACCGCCAGAGAUGUGCAUGGUUUGAUUUCUAUGAUGAUUUCAGUUUGAUUGGUUGUGGAGUGAUUUUCACUUCUUAAGUUUACAGUCACAAGAUACAGUUAGUCUAUAUAAGGUCCUAUGUUAGGCCCUAAAUUCACUCUCAAACGUGGCACAUACUGCAGCCCUAGUGUUAUCACUACCUAAUUCAUCUACACAGUUUAUAAGACUAUCUUCUUUACAAUCCUGCUUCUCUUGUGGUUCAAACUUUAUUUUUUUACUAACAAAAACAUUUUAAUUUGUAUGACAACAAAUGUUUUUCUUCCACAAAGUGAUUUUUACACUGUAUGGAUCACAUGUAAUUUCAUUGUGUUUCCGUUGUCUUGUUUUCAUCCUAUAGGUGUUCAUACACACGUUUUUGGCUGCCCCUCUUCCUGUUCUUGUUGCAUGUGUUUACUUCUUGUUAGUUGCAUGCACCAUCUGUCUGUCUGUCUCGACGCUGUCUGUCUGUCUGUCUCGACGCUGUCUGUCUGUCUGUCUCGACGCUGUCUGUCUCGACGCUGUCUGUCUGUCUGUCUCGAUGCUGUCUGUCUGUGUCUCGCCGCUGUCUGUCUGUCUCACCGCUGUCUGUCUGUCUGUCUCGAGUCUGUCUGUCUGUCUCGAGUCUGUCUGUCUGUCUGUCUGUCUCGACGCUGUCUGUCUGUCUCGACGCUGUCUGUCUGUCUCGACGCUGUCUGUCUGUCUCAACGCUGUCUGUCUGUCUGUCUCACCGCUGUCUGUCUGUCUGUCUCGAGUCUGUCUGUCUCGACGCUGUCUAUCUGUCUCGGCAAUUCCAGUACUCGGGGGCCUGACUGGUGUCACACUUUUCUCCAUCCCUAGCAAACACAGCUGAUUUAAACUAAUUGCAUUCUAAACUGAAGAUCAUGAUUAUGUGAUUAUUGGAGUCGGGUGUGUUAGCUGGGACUGGGGAAAAAGUGUGCCACCAAUCAGACCCCGGGGACUGGAGUUGCCCAGGCCUGGUCUAGAUGCUGUCUGUCUCAUCUUCCAAUAGGCUUGCCUUGGUCUUCAGCUCACCACUGCCCCCCUAUGGACGGCUAUGCAUAGGCUCCACUCAAAUCAGCAGUCUGUUUUGAGCAUUGGGAAGUAUGGGAACUAGCCUAGUACUUGAGGUUUGAGUGCGUGUGGUUUAUGAUGUGCAGGGUUUGGAUGGCUUGUGGUGACUCACCAUUGAAGGGUUGACAUUUCAUUGUGCUUGUAUAUGCUUGUACAAUAGAGUGUGUGUUGUGUGAGAGUGUAGAUUACUGUAUGUAUUGCUAUGGUUUGGGAGGGUUACAAUGGUUCCUAGUAAGUUUACAAUGGCUUCUGGGGACCCAGGCAUGCCUGUUAUAACACUAUUGUGUUACAUGCUAACUCCUUUGUCAAUGCCUGUUUAACCUUGGGAGAAGAGAAUUAACGCACCAGAAAUGGCAUGCCACUAAUACAGAAGUUAUUGAAGGCGGUCACACCACAUUGACUAGCUGAGAUACUAUAGUAUUUAACACCUAAUUGGUUUGAAUCUUCGCUGUUUUUGGUUUACCUCAAAUAUAUAUAUAUCUCAUGUAAUGACUCAAAGUAGCCUAUUUCAACAAAUUUGGAGAACAAACUGAAUGUAAAGUAUUUUCUAACCCUGUAUCUUCAUCAAUCUUAUGAUUGAAGUCUGUCUUUUAUUUGGCUGGCAUUUUGCCAACUCAGCCACCGCAUUGGACAAGAUUUUUUUAGCUGCAAGGUGUGGUGUGUGACCAGGUGUGGUGUGUGACCAGGUGUGGUGUGUGACCAGGUGUGGUGUGCUGUGGGGUGAGUUCUGCGGUGUUGUCAUGUCCCGUUGUGUGUGGGGUUGGCGUUGAACUGCCCUACUGUGUGCACGUGUGUGUGUGUGUGUGUGUACACAAGGUUACAUGAUGUUGGAGCCUAUCUGUUGGCUGACGAGGAGUGCAGUCUGAUCCAGCAGGUUCACGCCAUCAGUAAUGUAGAGGAGUCUAUCUACAUGGAGUCUUCUGUCCAGCCCAAUGGGCCCCAGGCCAGGCACAUGGCUCAGGCAGACCUGAAGAGCUCUACGUUUUGGCUAAGGGCAAGCGUGGGGGCAACUGUGUUUGCAGUCCUGGGCUUCGCUAUAUACAGAGCUAUCCUUAAACAACGAUGAUCAAGACAGACACAGGAUGCAUGAGAUGACCCUUGACCCGCCCCCCACCGCCUAGUCUCUGCCCUUUGACCCCUCACACCCUCCCUGACAGAAAACAUGACCUCCAACAUCCCACAGUCCUCUGCUCCCCUUCCCCAAAAAAGAGACAACUACUGAAUGAAACGGAACUUCCAGCCAUCUGAACCUGAUCCCACAUCCACCCUACCGGAGAAGGAACAAACCGGAGAAACCAUAGAUUGAUUUUAUAUAUUUGAAACAGAGAAAAAAACUUGUCAUCAACUGUUUUUUGUUUUUCUUUGGGGGAAAAAAUGUCACCACAAACUCACAUUGUAUUUUUUGAACACCAUCUAAUCAAUCUACUGCAGGCAUUCUGGUAUCGUGUGAUCUGGUCUAGUCUUGGGUUUUUUUCUUCUCCAGGUCAGACAGUAGUAGUUGCUGGUUGUUUUUAAAUCUGUGUAGAACCCGGCCUUUUUUCUCAGGUCAGUAUUAUAGCUAGCUGGUUUGACCCCCAGAGCCCAGGAGAAAGCAAAGAAGGCAGCCGCAUACAACUCACUACAAAAGGGACUGAAAAUAUUUGUUUAUAGGUGUGUGUGUGUAUAUAUAAAUAUAUAUAUUUGCUCGGGUACUUAGAGAAAUACCCAACUAGAUUAUGGCGUGAACAAAGCUCGCCAGGAUCAGAGCAUUCAGUUCUGUAACACCUCAACAGUGAGCCUACAGGAAGAGCUGCAAAGUCAAAGCCAUUUUUAACAUUGAAAAGGUCAUGGGUUUCGUGCGCUGCGUUUCAAUUGCUAUUAAUUUAUUAACCUGUUUUCUUUGGUUUAUCAGUUUGGAAUGGUUUGUUCAGCAUUGCAUGAAACAGACGCACUUCAAGAGGAUAAUACAUUCAUGUGUUUUUGUAUAUCUAGUAUUAUCAAAGCCGUUAUUAAUAAUGACAUCCAUCAUUCACUUACUCUGAAAGACAAAAGACUACAACAUUAUCAUGACUGCUUCUUCCUCGACUUGUUUUAUUUUCCUGUUUUUAAAAUAGCUUUUUUCCUUUCAUAUUAUGAUUGUAUUUGUCUGUUCCACUGUUAUGCCUCCAGAUUAUACUGUUAUUAACAGCCAUGCAGUGCACCUCUGACUCCCUCCUUGGACCAUGGAUGGAACUGUUUAUUCUCAUUGACUUUUCCAACAUUUACAAUAAAGAACUGUGUGAUCUGA